AAGAGGAGAGAGGCGGAUUCCCUGAAGCAGAGAAGAAACCUAUUUCUUUGGAGAUCUAUUAUCCCUUCUGAAACCCUGAAUACCUCCACUAAGACUUUCAGUUACAGCAGUCUAAAAUCCUCAAGUGGGAUUGUGGCUUUGAACUUUGAACAGAGAGACAUCCACAGACCCCUUUCCUAAGAUUUCUCUCCUUUUCUCCCUUUCCCUUACCUGUCCCUGGACUCAUACAUUCAAGAUCCAGCUAGUUGAGAGUAGGGACAAGAAAGCAGUUGGCAAAAGGGAGAAGUCAGGGCUGAGAAGCCUGUGACCUCUAGACUCUGGGGAGACAAUCUGCUAGAGGGGACAAUCUCUAGGGCUUCCCUGUUUACCCACUUUCCUGCCUGAUAUCUUUGUCAUUCCCUUCCUGCUUGAACCCCAAUAAAUUAUUUUACAUCUAAGAUUUAGGUUUGGGCCAGUCUCUAAACAACAUAGUUAAGGGAAUUGAAGAUUUGGGGAGGGUCACAUCUCUCCCCAAAAGAGGAUUGACUUCUAGAACCCAAUGAUUCAAGGAACUGACAUCUUUCCUUGGCAGUUAACCACUCCUAAGACCCUGAAAGGGGUUGACAGUUAAUGUCCCUGGGGGAAGCAGAGGCAUAAGAGAUCAUCUUGCCUCUUAAAGGGAGGCAUCCUGCCAUCUCACUAAGGCAAUCCCACUUUAGUCUCCUGUCCUCCAUCUCCCAGAAAAUAUUCCUGUGGAGACAUACUCCUUUUCUCCAAGGGGACAGAACCUGGCUUAUCUCCACCCAGAAAUAAGAGAGGAGAAGAAUAAAUAGAAUAAUCCUUUCAAUCUCUCUCACCUCUAUUCCCUCUCUCUCCCCACUAUCUCUUCUCCUUCAUUACACUAGUCACAUGACCAUAAGUAAGUCAGUUAACUUCUCUAUGCCUUUGUUUCCUUGAGGAUAAAAAUAAGAAGAGUGAUACUUAAACUUACUUCCUCAUAAAAGUGUUAGAAGGAUUUUUUUUAAUCUUAAAGUUAUAUAAAUAUCAGUUAUUUCCAUUAUUAUCACUCUAUUUCCCAAGGAAAAAAAGUGAUCUCUACCCCCUCUAAACUUUUAUUUUCUUUGUAACUCUUCUACAUACUAAAAUAUUUUGUUUUUGUAUUAUAGCUAUUUGUAUGUGUACAAUCUUUUUUAACAGGCUGUAAGAUUUUUGAGGAAUAAUAAAGUGGAGGAAUUCCAUGGAGACUGGAACAACCUCCAGGAAGUGAUGCAGAGCAAAAGGAGCAGAACCAGGAAAACAUUGUACACAGAGACUGAUACAUUGUGGUACAAUCGAAGAUACUUCAAGCAGAGUGUAGGAAGGAACCUGAGAAGUAAUCACAUCAAAACCCUUCAUUUUACUAGUGAAGAAACCAAGGCUCAUAGAGGUUAGGUGAUUUGUCCAGGCCACACAGCUAAUGUUUGAGGAAACUAGGGCAAGAUCAAGGAGUCUGUGUGAACAUAAACUGAGCAGCAAUCAGCAGUCUGAGAAGUGCUGGAAGUCCAUAUGGAACUCCCUGCUAAAUUUUCCUUUGCAGAAACACUGCUGAAGUAGGGGGUCAUAUAUCCCACUUCCCUAUAGGAAGUGGAAUUAAUUCCCUCUUGGGAAUUAAAUUAAAUUAAAGGGAUCAAAUCAGGAUAGAGCAAGUCUUGGGGAUCCAUUUCUAAUAAAUAAAUACAAAAAAGAUGCUGCUCACCUUGUAGUCAACAAAGAUACUUAUAAUGAACUUAUCCAAUAAUCAGCAUAUCUCUUGAGGGCCUACUGUCUAUUGUGAAGGCUGUAUGGAGUAGUGAAAAGAAUUCUGAAUUUUGAGUUAGUAGUGACCUAGUUGAAAAUUCUCCCUUCAAUACCUGUUAUGUCACCAGGGAUAAAUGACUUUAGCUUCCUGAUGCUCAUUUUCCUUAUCUAUAAAAUAAAGAUGAUGAAGUGACUAUAUCACAAGGUAGUUGUGAAGCAAAAAUAGAAAUAUAUAUAUAUAUAUAUACAUAUAUAUAUACAUGAAGUACUUUGAAAUUCUUAAAGAGUUGUAUGAAUGUUACCUAUUUUAUCUGCUCUAGCACACCAUAUUUAUCUCUAUGGCAUCCAUCCCAGAACUAAUAAGAAGAUGGGGAAAGGAAAUGACCCUUUCCCUGCCCUCAAGGAGUUUGUGAUGUCCUUAAAAAAACAAAAAUAAUAUCUAUGAAACAAUUAGAAUUCGAAACAAGACAGAGAGUACACAGGUAAGCCUCUUCCCCUCAUUCACAGAAGACUUUUCUGGUUGUUUCUGAAUAUAAGAAGUAUGCAUUGGGAGAUGAAACCAAGACUGAAUUAUGCAUAGAUCUAGGGAGAGACUGAAGCAUGCAUAUCCCAAAGGAAUCCACUUGCAUCAAUGAGCUGCUGCUAGAAUUAGACCCUAAGAUUGUGACAGAGACAAAGACUGAGGGUGUGCAUAUUCUGAGACUGGGAGAUAGCAGGAGAUAGAAAAAGAAGCAGAGAACUUAAGGUCAUCACAUCUACAUGACUUCUUUAAGACAGAGCAGUGACUAAAGAAAAACACUGGGUAUUAGAGCUUCAAAAAAGAACAUCAUAAUAAAGAGAUAGGGCAAAGACCCUUGAAGCAGGAAAACACAUUCCAAGGAAUAAAGAAGCCAAGAGCCAUAAUGUGGAGGAACAAGCUAAGACUUUGCCCUUAACUGGUACUCUAGCCACGUAGACAGUGUGUUAGCCUUGAAAGAUUUUGUUAGAGCCCCUAAAACGUUAUUUUCCCAUGGAAAAAGUAGGGACCAACAUUAGGAGAAGGUUAAAUGACUCUAGGAACUCUGACCCAUACAGGAUAAUACUAUAAGUCAAAAGGUUUGUACAGCUGCUGUGGGAACAUUUUUAGCAGAGGUGAGUGGGAUGUUUUCCUGAUUAUCUGUAGCUAAAGUAUGUUUAUUAGUUUUUCUUGUAAAAAAUAGCUGGUGCCCUUUGGGAGACAACAAAGCAAGACAGGUACUGAUAGUCCCAAAGUGUCCCUAGGUGGAAUUAUGAACUAGAGUUUUUUUAGGGUUUUCUUUGUAUAUAUAUCUAAGUGUAAGGGGUGGCAGCGUUUCGAGACAAAAGCCAGAUGCUAAAAUUUCCAAAAGAUUGUCUUCCUAAGGUCAUCAGCCAAAAUAAUUUUUCAGGAGACCUCCAAAACCAGCAUAAAAUGUAACAUAUAUGUCAUCUAGGCCCUGGCCCCUGAAAUGUCAAUAUCUAGCUCAUUUUAGUCUCAAAAAAAAGUUUGGUCUAAGCUCCCCAGCAAGAAUUCUAGCUCACAAGAAAUUGAAUCAUUUAAUCAAUUAGCAAGGAUUUAUAAAAUAUAUAUUAUGUGUCAGGUACAUACAUUCCUGCUAAGAAUAAAAGAGACAAAAAUUAAAGUCCUUAAAAAACUCAGUGAGAUUACAUGCCAAUGUGGUUGGAUGAAAGAGUACAUGAAAGAGAGUCAAGUAUUAUAAUUCUGGAAAGAUAGGUUAGAACAAAGUUGUGACUUUAAAAAAAUUUUAAUGCAUAUUUAUGUUUUAUCCAAGAGUCAAUAGUGAGUCACCAGAGUUAACUGAGCAGGAAACAAACAUAGCCAGAUUUGUACUUUCAAAAUAUAGCUACCAUGUGGAGCAUGAAUUGGAGGAAUAAAAGACUUGAAUCAGGGAGGCCAAUAUGUAACCUAUUAGAAUAGUCCAAAUGAAAGUCUCAACUGGGAUAGUGCCUUAUGUUAAUGGAGGGAAGGGGAUGGAAGUAAAAGAUCUUGUGGAUAGAAAAUUGACAAGAUUUGACAAUUGAUUGUAUAUGUGAGGUAAGAGAAAAUGAGUUGAGGAGAUUACAAAAUUGUGAAUCUGGAUGCC
Molecule: non-coding RNA, 3857 nt
Organism: Monodelphis domestica (gray short-tailed opossum)
Lineage: Eukaryota; Metazoa; Chordata; Mammalia; Didelphimorphia; Didelphidae
Source: RefSeq, a predicted model, not a curated record